This 520-nucleotide ribosomal RNA is filed under the name uncultured Glomus. RNAcentral's name for it is "SSU rRNA". It matches the Rfam family "Eukaryotic small subunit ribosomal RNA", at positions 569 to 1092 of the family's 1831-position model. The record is from RNAcentral. Lineage: Eukaryota; Fungi; Glomeromycota; Glomeromycetes; Glomerales; Glomeraceae.
AGCAGCCGCGGUAAUUCCAGCUCCAAUAGCGUAUAUUAAAGUUGUUGCAGUUAAAAAGCUCGUAGUUGAAUUUCGGGACUAAUAUGUCGGUCGUGCCUCGGUACGAACUGGUUUAUUGGUUUCUCCUUUCUGAAGAACCAUGAUGUCAUUUAUUUGGUGUCGUGGGGAAUCAGGACUGUUACUUUGAAAAAAUUAGAGUGUUUAAAGCAGGCUCACGCUUGAAUACAUUAGCAUGGAAUAAUGAAAUAGGACGUUUGAUUCUAUUUUGUUGGUUUCUAGGAUCGACGUAAUGAUUAAUAGGGAUAGUUGGGGCGAUUAGUAUUCAAUUGUCAGAGGUGAAAUUCUUGGAUUUAUCGAAGACUAACUACUGCGAAAGCAUUUGCCAAGGAUGUUUUCAUUAAUCAAGAACGAAAGUUAGGGGAUCGAAGACGAUCAGAUACCGUCGUAGUCUUAACCAUAAACUAUGCCGACUAGGGAUCGGAUGAUGUUAAUUUUUUAAUGACUCAUUCGGCGCCUUACG